Molecule: transfer RNA, 72 nt
Filed under: Rana kunyuensis
Lineage: Eukaryota; Metazoa; Chordata; Amphibia; Anura; Ranidae
Also listed under: 1 other name
Description: tRNA-Leu
Source: RNAcentral
GCUUCUAUAGGAAAAGAGUUUUCCCCUAGUAUUAGGCACUGGAACGUCUUGGUGCAAGUCCAAGUGGAAGCU